This 759-nucleotide ribosomal RNA is filed under the name uncultured bacterium. RNAcentral's name for it is "bacterial SSU rRNA". It matches the Rfam family "Bacterial small subunit ribosomal RNA", at positions 1 to 757 of the family's 1533-position model. The record is from RNAcentral.
AUUCGCCCUUAGAGUUUGAUCCUGGCUCAGGAUGAACGCUGGCGGCGUGCCUAACACAUGCAAGUCGAACGGGGUAUAUAAGCGGAAGUUUACGGAUGGAAGGUUAUAUACUUAGUGGCGGACGGGUGAGUAACGCGUGGGCAACCUGCCCCGUGCCGGGGGAUACCGCCUGGAAACAGGCGCUAAUACCGCAUAAGCGCAUACAGCCGCAUGGGUGUAUGCGGAAAGCUCCGGCGGCACGGGAUGGGCCCGCGCCCGAUUAGCCAGUUGGCGGGGUAACGGCCCACCAAAGCGACGAUCGGUAGCCGGCCUGAGAGGGCGGACGGCCACAUUGGGACUGAGACACGGCCCAAACUCCUAUGGGAGGCAGCAGUGGGGAAUAUUGCACAAUGGGGGAAACCCUGAUGCAGCAACGCCGCGUGGGUGAAGGAGCGUUUCGGCGCGUAAAGCCCUGUCAGCGGGGAAGAAGAAAGACGGUACCCGACCAAGAAGCCCCGGCUAACUACGUGCCAGCAGCCGCGGUAAUACGUAGGGGGCGAGCGUUAUCCGGAAUUACUGGGUGUAAAGGGAGCGUAGACGGCGAGGUAAGCCUGAAGUGGAAGCCCGCGGCCCAACCGCGGAACUGCUUUGGGAACUGUUUUGCUGGAGUAUGGGAGGGGUAAGCGGAAUUCCUGGUGUAGCGGUGAAAUGCGUAGAUAUCAGGAGGAACACCGGUGGCGAAGGCGGCUUACUGGACCAUAACUGACGUUGAGGCUCGAA